CAGCUCCGCACUUCGUCUCCCUCCUUUUGGGUCGUUCGUUGCGAACGGGAACCAAGCCUUCCGCUGUCCAGUUACAUUAAUCUGGAGCUUCAUGUCCGCCAUAUCUUAGUCACUUGUGUUGUUUGAUUUACAGGUUACCUGUUGAAAUCAAAGUUGACCUUGUAUUAGUUGUAGGAGUGAGCCUGGCUUAGACCCGGGAGAAGACGGCUCUGAACGUGGGGUUUGGCGGAAGCGGUUGGAUCGAUCAUUUCAGAAUGGAUAUGACUGCUUUGGGUUUUCUUUCAUUUUUCUAAAACAAUUUAAAAUUGAGGCAGAUUGUUGUUGUUGUUGUUGUUGUUGUUGUUGUCGUUGUGCAAGUGUCUUUGCAAGUUGCGUCAGUAAUUCUUGUUUUCGAACAUGCAUGUAGGUUAUGACUUUUUUACGGAGCUUGAGUCAGGAGAUAGAGACUAGGUUUUCGUUUAUCAGGUCACAGCAUUGCCAUGUUUUGGUGCGGUUUUCUACUCCUUUGAUUAAGAUCGUGCUGCCUCUAGAUUCCGAGGGAAAGCGCACAGCUGUCAAGUAUUCUCCACUGACUGCCUCAAGUUUUUCUGAUAAACUAGCUGACGAAAUAUACGUGUUCUCAAAAACUCAACGUACGAAUGUCCGCUCUGAAGGUCCAUGUGGAAUGUUAUUUCUUCAGCAUAUCGCAUCCAGACAAAUAUGAAGGACUGGGCUUCAUAGAAUUUGUAACCAACUCCUGACGACGCAACCAUCUAGUUCGACUCAUUAAAUUUAGGCGAAGCAUUAAUGAAGGCACUGGAAUAUUCUGUACAAUUAUUCUAAUAAACCAUAUGCAACGAUUCGGUGUGAAAUCUACCAGUGAAUCAUCUGGUUUCAUCGAUGAUAUCAAGUAUCAUAUUCGGUUUGUGGAGAGCUAGCUGCACAAGUACUGCAUCCACUGAUGUGAUGCUAAUGUUUAACACCGAGGUCGAACAUAUGAUGGAUAUGUCGAGGUUUACAAGUUAAGCUCAGACCUACAUUUUUAUGUCACAAUAGGUGAAGAUGAGGACGAACUUGUCGUUGCCACAGUCCUGCAGGGAUUCUUAGACGCCGUUGGUUUGCUUCUCGGAUUGUUGCUUGAGAUUUGGUCGCCCUCAAUUGGCAUUCAUCAUCUCACAGAAGAUCUUCAUGACAAAUCACGCUUCUCACUACUCUUCAGCUCCAGUAAAUUUUCAUCAAGUAAGAGAAAUCUAAUACUUGGGAUUUCAGCGUGUUUUAACAGCUGAAUGGUCUCUGCUGCCGACAUGUCGAGUCGAAGAGUGUGCUGGAUAACCCGGACCUUGUCCUACUCUGCCUUAAUGAGAUUAUGGACAGGGGGUAUGUCUUGUUAUCCAAUGCACUGUCUCCAAGUUCAACAAUGUUUCCAUGAAAAAACUUGCUUUCCCAGUGUGAUUUCUGACAGGGAAUUGAAGUUGCAAAUGCUAUGCGUUGUUGACUAUUUCUAGGGAUUUGGAUGGAUUUCGGGUUGCAUCCACACAAUCUCUUGAUAAGAAAUGUGCCCUCAGGAUUUGGAUUGAAGGCAUUUCUGCUGUGCGAUGUCUUUGUAUUGCAGCAUAAUAAUAUAAACACAUGCCAAUGUUAUUGCUGGCAGAGUUUCUGUGCUGAGUGCAGAUGUGGAAGUCCCUCUUUUUUAGAACAGACCAUCUCUCAAGCAUUGGCAACUGCUAAGUAGCAGUUCGCAAGGUUUAGCUAAGGUGAACCAAUUAUCUUCCAACACUCCUUUGUGUUAAGUUGGGAGUUGAAAGACCAUGUUGUCUACAAGCCAGGCGUGUUGCGGCUCAUCAGCAAUCAAGAGCGAGUGAAGAAGCUAACAAAUAAUCGGGGGACAACACAAAAUGUCUACCUCCCAUUUAGUUAAUACAAAACUCGGGUUAAGUGGAUC
Molecule: long non-coding RNA, 1921 nt
Organism: Physcomitrium patens
Lineage: Eukaryota; Viridiplantae; Streptophyta; Bryopsida; Funariales; Funariaceae
Source: RefSeq, a predicted model, not a curated record